CCUACGGGAGGCAGCAGCAAGGAAUCUUCCGCAAUGGGGGCAACCCUGACGGAGCAACGCCGCGUGGGGGAUGAGGCCCUUCGGGGUGUAAACCCCUUUUCUGCGGGACGAAGGCGGCUUACGGCCGCUUGACGGUACCGCAGGAAGAAGGACCGGCUAACUACGUGCCAGCAGCCGCGGUAAUACGUAGGGUCCGAGCGUUGUCCGGAGUUACUGGGCGUAAAGGGCGCGCAGGCGGCGGUGCUGGCCCGGCGUGAAAGCCCCCGGCUCAACCGGGGAGGGUCGUCGGGGACCGCACCGCUUGAGGGCGGUAGGGGCUGGUGGAAUGCCUGGUGUAGUGGUGAAAUGCGUAGAGAUCAGGCGGAACACCCGUGGCGAAGGCGGCCAGCUGGGCCGACCCUGACGCUGAGGCGCGAAGGCGUGGGGAGCGAACGGGAUUA
This 440-nucleotide ribosomal RNA is filed under the name uncultured bacterium. RNAcentral's name for it is "bacterial SSU rRNA". It matches the Rfam family "Bacterial small subunit ribosomal RNA", at positions 338 to 780 of the family's 1533-position model. The record is from RNAcentral.